CCUAGAACCCACAAAGGGUGUUG
RNAcentral lists this non-coding RNA (23 nucleotides) under Arabidopsis thaliana (thale cress). The record is from RNAcentral. Lineage: Eukaryota; Viridiplantae; Streptophyta; Magnoliopsida; Brassicales; Brassicaceae.